GGAGACCAGUGAAACUCCAGAUCUUUGUAAUGAAUUCUGAUAGUUUUGGAAUCAGAUUAACUUGGAAAAAGAUAAGGAAGUCAAGAUGAUUUUUGAAAUGUUGUUAAAAGGUCUUUCAAUUGUCCAAAUAUUGAAAAGCUGACUCCUAUGCUAUAACAUCAUCUGUUGCAAGUUAACAUCAUUUGCUAACUUCAAGAUGGUGAAGAUCUGAUGAGCAGCUUCUUCAGUGAAUUAUAACCUUCUGAGUCAUAUGCUGUGAGAAAAUUAACCACUUUGGAUGGAAAAAAUAGAAAAAUAAGUUUGCACUCAAAUACAUACCUGCACUUAUGUCCAGUGACAGUCACACAUGAAUCAGAAGACAGAAUUUUACACAUCAGUGACUGUUCCCAGAAGUGACAGAGCUUUGGGUGUGCAAGGAAGGACUGACAAAUACAGUCAAAAAACCAGUCAAACCAUAGAGGAAAAAAAUGCUUUUCAGUGCGUUAACAAAGAGUUUCUGGGAGACAAGAACAUAGCCCAAAUUCCUUCCAACCAUUUAAAAAGGAAAACAGGAGAGUCUGUGCAAGAGAGAAACUUUCACCACUAUAUUCUCUGUCUACCUAACAUAAAGGAGAGAGGGAACAUUGUUCCAGCUCAGCAACAAAAAAAAAACGGUGGAGAAGCUGCCUAUGAACCCAGCAGAAAAUCAGGAGAUGUACCGGGUACCUAG
This 709-nucleotide long non-coding RNA is filed under the name Calidris pugnax (ruff). RNAcentral's name for it is "lncRNA (ENSCPUG00000006712.1)". The record is from RNAcentral. Lineage: Eukaryota; Metazoa; Chordata; Aves; Charadriiformes; Scolopacidae.